UCUACCAACUGCUCCAUUCGU
Molecule: microRNA, 21 nt
Filed under: Caenorhabditis remanei
Lineage: Eukaryota; Metazoa; Nematoda; Chromadorea; Rhabditida; Rhabditidae
Description: crm-miR-7605
Source: miRBase by way of RNAcentral